AACGAACGCUGGCGGCGCGCCUAAUACAUGCAAGUCGAGCGAGAAGACGUAGCAAUACGUUUGUAAAGCGGCGAACGGGUGAGGAAUACAUGGGUAACCUACCCUCGAGUGGGGAAUAACUAGCCGAAAGGUUAGCUAAUACCGCGUACGCUCCUUGGACUUCGGUUCAGGGAGGAAAGCGAUACCGUGGGUAUCGCGCUCUUGGAUGGGCUCAUGUCCUAUCAGCUUGUUGGUGAGGAACGGCUCACCAAGGCUUCGACGGGUAGCUGGUCUGAGAGGACGAUCAGCCACACUGGCACUGCGACACGGGCCAGACUCCUACGGGAGGCAGCAGUAAGGAAUAUUGCGCAAUGGGCGAAAGCCUGACGCAGCGACGCCGCGUGGGGGAUGACGGCCU
RNAcentral lists this ribosomal RNA (397 nucleotides) under uncultured bacterium. RNAcentral describes it as "bacterial SSU rRNA". It matches the Rfam family "Bacterial small subunit ribosomal RNA", at positions 29 to 417 of the family's 1533-position model. The record is from RNAcentral.